UCUUCCCACUCUGUCUGAAUCUGAAGGAAAAUGGGUCAGAGUAUUUAGGGGAAACAAGGAGAGAGAAACUUAGAGAGAGAAACUUCUGCAACUCAAGAUCAACGAUCAUCUCUUUCGACGAUGGUGCUUCGAUUCUUCUCAGCGUUUCGAUUUUUCGAGUCUGAGGUUGUGGAAGACGAUUUCCCGAUCGUCACAUUCAUCAGAACAUCAGUGCCUUUAGUUGAGUUUAAUGGCUGCUUUUCUUGCAAUCGUUCGUCAAUCAUUCUAGGACGGUUGAUGAUGUGUCAGUUCCUGCUGAAAAUAAGUCCUGCAGAGAAGAGAUGUCAAUUUGAUUUUUUUAACGCAACAAAAACCAAUAACUUUUUUCAAGAGAGAUACAGCAGAUGACUACCAGUAGAAGAUAAGGAAGGGAAAAUAGUCUGCAAAGUUGGGUUUCCCAACUUCUUCCAUCAGGCCUCGUAUUGUCUCUCGAAAUUCACGAGCAAUUUCAGAAUUGGGAUCACCCAUAUCAACUGAAAAAAAAGGUAUUUGACAGCAAAUUGAGGGUAGUAGUGAAUGCUGCUUGGCCGAUGUUUACUGCUGUACCAUCAUCGCUGCUCUUCUCAACAAAGGAAAUAAGAUCAUUGAUCUUAUUUCUUCGAAGGCUUUGGCUAGCACCCAGUGUGCUUGACAUUAAUUCUUUUUAUUUCUUUUUUGGGUUGAAUUUUAGUGCCUUCUUUGAUUGUGUGGUGGUUUUUUUGGAUUGAAUUUCAGUGCCUUCUUUGAUUGUGUGGUGGUUUUUUUUUAGUUGAAUUUGAGUGAUUUAUCGUUUUUUUGGGUUGAUUUUUUAUACUGUUAGUAACAUUAUUGUCUAAUUUGUAACAGAAUUGUUGAACUAAAAGGUACAAUUCUUAUCUCCCCUUUUUCUUUCUUGUUCUAAUUGGUUCAAUUUUCAUCUAACCUUUAAUAUGAAUAGUGUAGACACUCAUUUGUGUCUCCCCAAAACCAAACCCAGUGAUGAGUACCUUUCACGUCGAAUCAUAAUCGAAUGAAGCGAAAGUGU
Long non-coding RNA from Chenopodium quinoa (quinoa), 1042 nucleotides. RefSeq lists it as uncharacterized. The record is from RefSeq and is a predicted model, not a curated record. NCBI's taxonomy places the organism in Eukaryota, Viridiplantae, Streptophyta, Magnoliopsida, Caryophyllales, Amaranthaceae. The transcript is spliced from 3 exons.